UGUGUUCAAGUGUGUUCGUGUGUGUUCAGGUGUGUUUGUGUGUGUUCAGCUGUGUUCAGAUGUGUUCAGGUGUGUUCAUAUGUGUUCAGGUGUGUUCAGCUGUGUUCAGGUGUGUUCAGGUGUGUUUGUGUGUGUUCAGCUGUGUUCAUAUGUGUUCAGCUGUGUUUAGGUCUGUUCAGAUGUGUUCAAGUGUGUUCAUGUGUGUUCAGGUGUGUUUGUGUGUGUUCAGCUGUGUUCAGAUGUGUUCAGCUGUGUUCAUAUGUGUUCAGAUGUGUUCAGCUGUGUUCAGAUGUGUUCAGGUGUGUUCAGCUGUGUUCAGAUGUGUUCAGCUGUGUUCAGGUGUGUUCAAGUGUGUUCAAGUGUGUUCAGGUGUGUUUGUGUGUGUUCAGCUGUGUUCAGAUGUGUUCAGCUGUGUUCAUAUGUGUUCAGAUGUGUUCAGGUGUGUUCAAGUGUGUUCAAGUGUGUUCGUGUGUGUUCAGAUGUGUUCUGCUGUCUUCAAGUGUGUUCAGGAGUGUUCAGAUGUGUUCAGAUGUUUUCAAGUGUGUUCAAGUGUGUUCAGGUGUGUUCAGCUGUCUUCAAGUGUGUUCGUGUGUGUUCAUAUGUGUUCAGCUGUGUUCAAGUGUGUUCAAGUGUGUUCAGGAGUGUUCAGAUGUGUUCAGAUGUGUUCAAGUGUGUUCGUGUGUGUUCAGGUGUGUUCAGGUGUGUUCAGCUGUCUACAAGUGUG
Molecule: long non-coding RNA, 724 nt
Organism: Epinephelus fuscoguttatus (brown-marbled grouper)
Lineage: Eukaryota; Metazoa; Chordata; Actinopteri; Perciformes; Serranidae
Exons: 3
Source: RefSeq, a predicted model, not a curated record